UGUGGGGAUUGUCAUUCUUUUAUGAAGCUUGCAUCAAGCAUUACAAAGAGGGACAUUAUUGUUAGGGAUGUAAACAGAUUUCAUCAUUUUAAGGAUGGAUGUUGUUCUUGUAGGGAGUUCUGGUGAAUGCUAGUAAGUAACUCGGUCAUGGCGGUUGUCAAUCAAACUAAACAUUGUUGAUUGACUGUCCAAGCUCUUUGUAAAAAUUCGGGAUUGAGAACAAAUUUCAGCAAUCACCAUCUCAUUCAUCUGAGAACCUGCUAUACAUUGUGCAACAUGUUAAAAUCAAUUAAGUAGAUACGGAACUUCUUUUGAUGGGCGGACUGGAAUUAAGUGGGAAAUAAAAUUGGGAAAAGACUCUUAGCAAGUGAAAGUGGAGAUGGCAACUAAAAGUUUACAGUUUAUGUACUCCUCUUACUCAGGUGACAGUAACUUAUGCGAGUAUAAGAAGUUUCAAGUAAUGCUGCAUUCUGUGAGUAUUCUUUCAUAAACUAUAGGUUUUGC
Non-coding RNA from Jatropha curcas, 504 nucleotides. NCBI's taxonomy places the organism in Eukaryota, Viridiplantae, Streptophyta, Magnoliopsida, Malpighiales, Euphorbiaceae. The record is from RefSeq and is a predicted model, not a curated record.